CCUGAUGUGAACUGUAGUUGCAAUAAUUUUCUAGCCAGCUUGUAGAUGUUGAAGAAAAAUCUUUACAGUAAGGAAACAUCAAACCAUACUUCCAUGGCAUGACAAAUGAUAGAACUCAUUUCUUUAUAAUGCAACAUCCAUGUUAUGUUAAUUACCACAUGUGUCGCCCUGGUACUUAAGCUAUUCCUCUGAAUUUGGUGAAAAUUAUCUCACCCUCAAGAUCUCUUGUAAAAAAAUCAACAUUUUUCGUGAUUUAAAGUUCAUUUUCCAUAAGUGUGAAAAUACAAUGUUUUUCCUGCAAACAAAUGAAAUCAGUAGUCUGUGAUUUAUUUUUAUUAAUAACAAUUGUUUGCUCGUUUGGAGCAAAGGCAUUACUGAACUGAUUUUUUUCUACUUCGCUAUAGACUAAAAAAUGUAAAGAGGAUGCAUACAGUAGGCAAUAAUCUUUGUGCAAAAAAAAAAUACAUGGUAUUUAAGCUAACUUUCAUUGAACCUGAUGAAUCAUAUAUCUGUCUAAGAUAGUUUCUUUUACAUGUACAAAUGAAAUCCACAGUUGGAAAGUAGGUAGUUUUUAUUUUCAAAUGACAACAUAUUAGGUCUUGCCUGCAUCUCCCUAUAGUACUAUUUUUAGGCUCAUUGCAAAGUACUAAUUAACAUAAAUAGUAAAAUGUGGGAAGUACAUUAGAAUGACAGGUGCUUUCUAUAUUACUACUAAGAUAUUUUUUGCAUACUUGUAUCCAAUUUAAUUGCACCAUGGAACACAUUAAGCAAAUUAUCUCUAGAGAAGGGAGGUAAUCCUGCAGGACCAUAACUUGUAUUUUAUAAUGUGCAGGCACAAUCAAAUUUCAAUGAAGUAGCACUCGCCACUCAGACCUUUCUAGUAUUUUAUAUUUAGGGAAAGCUAAUUCAAAUAUGGAACAUCUAACACUCGGCACUGCUUAAACAGAAAUACUAUAUCAUUAUAAAUGAACCUAAAAAUACUUAUUCCAUUCAAUAUUUACAAAAAAAAAAACUUUAUGCAGUUCAUGAUUAACCUCAUAAGAAUCUAUGCAAAUCAUUGUAAAAUCCAGUCUCUCAAAAUAUGGCAGUUGCUUAUGUAUACGAACCUAAGAGGGUGUUUUAAUGGCUUUAACAUUUGCACCUUUAAGAACUGCCCCGUAUAUAUCGGAAUGGUGGUAUAGGAAUGAGCCAGUUAGGUUCUCCUGGUCCUUCAAAUCUAUAUCAAAUAUCAGAACUGCUUGAGCCAUCUGGACACCAUGGCUUUCCCUGUUCAGAAAUAUGAACUAAUGAUUAUCUACCUAAAACAAAAUACGAUGGCUGAGUCAAUAAGGUUCUCAUCAUAGCUUAACAUCUAUAUUUAAAAUCUGAACCUUUUGGACUAUCAAGGAAAGUGUGGGUAUCCAUGUUCUUAAGUACCAACUAAUCAUAUGAAUCAAUGUUCACAUACCUCUAAAAGAAAAUGAAUAAAUCGUAUAUUGGCUUAUAAUCCCCAGGUGUUCUAAUUGCAAGAACACAUGAUAACUACAGCAAAGUCCACCUCCCCAUUCGUCUCUGCAGCUCAACUGCUAGAAAAAGGCACACAAAACUGCAAGCAUAAAUAGAUUUUCUCAGCUCUAUCCAAUGUCAAUAAAAUGCUUCUGGAAGUUUGCAUGCAACUAAACAACACAAAACAGGUCUUCAUCCAAUGGAGGGAACCAAAUAAAUUACCUCCAGAUAAUUUGUCGAGGCAGAUGUCGUGACCGUAAAGAAGUGGACUCCCAGGGUGAGGUCGUUGGCCUGAUGUUGUUCAGUCCUCAUAUGCCACAUAAAACAAAUAUUUAGCAACAACAGUAAGGAAAGGGAAGCAUCGUUCUGCUAGAGCCUACUGCUUAGAAGAAUCUGAACAAACAUCAGUAUUGCAAAGUUAAUAUAAACAUACAACAUGCAUGUGUGUACACAUACAGACUAUCUGCAAGCAAUUUUUUUGCAUCAUCUUGGAAAUUUACUCAUACACAUAGUUAGCAAAAAAAUCAAGUAAUAGGAUCGGCAACACAAAGUAAUUUAGAUUUACUUUGAAACUUCACGAAGCACUACUUAGAAGCAUUUGAACAAAUGUCAAUUUGCAAAAUUGAUAUAAACAUACAACAUGCAUGUCUGUACACAUAUAUACAGACUAUCUGCAAGCAAUUUUUUGCAUCAUCUUGCAGAUUGACCAGCUCAAGCCAUAUAACUGAAGCAACAUACAGGACAUUGGCAUCUCGAUCUGAUUUUGAUCCCCGGAAUUCCAGAAACUUGAUGUGAUGAUGGAUUACUUUUAGUCGCCCUUCACGACCACCUAUGAGUACACACUGCAAUGCAUCUCAAACACAUCCAGGCAUGUAUGUAAACUGUUUUCUACAGCAGGGCCAGACUAUUAAAAUCAUCUAGAACAUUAUACCGACUAAAGAGUAAUACACACUGCAAUGCAUCUCAAACACAUCCAGGCAUGUAUGUAAGCUUCUUUCUACAGCAGGGUCAGACUAUAUUAAAAUCAUCAAGAACUUUGUACCAAGUAAAGAGUAAUCAUCAAAUACCAAGUAAAGAGUAUUGCCGAGAAUUAGACCGCUUUCUACCCAACUUGCAGCCUUUAUCUCCCCUGCUUGGGUAUCUAGGCAGUCCAAAAUAGUACAACUUCGAAUUUAGUGAGCUGCAUUGCAUCCUUCAACCAAGGAACGGCCAUUGCUAUCCCAUCUAC
Molecule: long non-coding RNA, 2713 nt
Filed under: Triticum aestivum (bread wheat)
Lineage: Eukaryota; Viridiplantae; Streptophyta; Magnoliopsida; Poales; Poaceae
Description: long non-coding RNA (TAES_LNC003007)
Source: RNAcentral